GGUUGUCUUGCUCUGUUCCUGUGUACUGGCAUUCUUCCUGAAUUACUGUAUAUUUCUUAAUACGACAAUAAAUUCAGCACUAACGCAGACAAUUUGCGGUAACUUGAAGGAUUUCUUUACCAUUGGACUUGGCUGGGUGAUAUUUGGUGGCCUUCCAUUUGAUAUUUUGAAUGUCAUUGGGCAAUGUCUCAAUUUUCUU
This is a long non-coding RNA of Rosa chinensis, 199 nucleotides long. RefSeq lists it as uncharacterized. The transcript has 3 exons. NCBI's taxonomy places the organism in Eukaryota, Viridiplantae, Streptophyta, Magnoliopsida, Rosales, Rosaceae. The record is from RefSeq and is a predicted model, not a curated record.